RNAcentral lists this ribosomal RNA (254 nucleotides) under uncultured bacterium. RNAcentral's name for it is "partial 16S ribosomal RNA". It matches the Rfam family "Bacterial small subunit ribosomal RNA", at positions 524 to 776 of the family's 1533-position model. The record is from RNAcentral.
UACAGAGGUCUCAAGCGUUGUUCGGAUUCAUUGGGCGUAAAGGGUGCGUAGGCGGCGCGGUAAGUCGGGUGUGAAAUCUCGGAGCUUAACUCCGAAACUGCAUUCGAUACUGCCGUGCUUGAGGACUGGAGAGGAGACUGGAAUUUACGGUGUAAGCGGUGAAAUGCGUAGAGAUCAUGAGGAAGACCAGUGGCGAAGGCGGGUCUCUGGACAGUUCCUGACACUGAGGCACGAAGGCCAGGGGAGCAAACGGG